RNAcentral lists this ribosomal RNA (1383 nucleotides) under Salmonella enterica subsp. enterica serovar Heidelberg str. N4541. Its description in RNAcentral is "bacterial LSU rRNA". It matches the Rfam family "Bacterial large subunit ribosomal RNA", at positions 1568 to 2925 of the family's 2925-position model. The record is from RNAcentral. Lineage: Bacteria; Pseudomonadati; Pseudomonadota; Gammaproteobacteria; Enterobacterales; Enterobacteriaceae.
GACGAGGCACUACGGUGCUGAAGCAACAAAUGCCCUGCUUCCAGGAAAAGCCUCUAAGCAUCAGGUAACAUCAAAUCGUACCCCAAACCGACACAGGUGGUCAGGUAGAGAAUACCAAGGCGCUUGAGAGAACUCGGGUGAAGGAACUAGGCAAAAUGGUGCCGUAACUUCGGGAGAAGGCACGCUGACACGUAGGUGAAGUGAUUUACUCAUGGAGCUGAAGUCAGUCGAAGAUACCAGCUGGCUGCAACUGUUUAUUAAAAACACAGCACUGUGCAAACACGAAAGUGGACGUAUACGGUGUGACGCCUGCCCGGUGCCGGAAGGUUAAUUGAUGGGGUCAGCGCAAGCGAAGCUCCUGAUCGAAGCCCCGGUAAACGGCGGCCGUAACUAUAACGGUCCUAAGGUAGCGAAAUUCCUUGUCGGGUAAGUUCCGACCUGCACGAAUGGCGUAAUGAUGGCCAGGCUGUCUCCACCCGAGACUCAGUGAAAUUGAACUCGCUGUGAAGAUGCAGUGUACCCGCGGCAAGACGGAAAGACCCCGUGAACCUUUACUAUAGCUUGACACUGAACAUUGAGCCUUGAUGUGUAGGAUAGGUGGGAGGCUUUGAAGUGUGGACGCCAGUCUGCAUGGAGCCGACCUUGAAAUACCACCCUUUAAUGUUUGAUGUUCUAACGUGGACCCGUUACCCGGGUUGCGGACAGUGUCUGGUGGGUAGUUUGACUGGGGCGGUCUCCUCCUAAAGAGUAACGGAGGAGCACGAAGGUUGGCUAAUCCUGGUCGGACAUCAGGAGGUUAGUGCAAUGGCAUAAGCCAGCUUGACUGCGAGCGUGACGGCGCGAGCAGGUGCGAAAGCAGGUCAUAGUGAUCCGGUGGUUCUGAAUGGAAGGGCCAUCGCUCAACGGAUAAAAGGUACUCCGGGGAUAACAGGCUGAUACCGCCCAAGAGUUCAUAUCGACGGCGGUGUUUGGCACCUCGAUGUCGGCUCAUCACAUCCUGGGGCUGAAGUAGGUCCCAAGGGUAUGGCUGUUCGCCAUUUAAAGUGGUACGCGAGCUGGGUUUAGAACGUCGUGAGACAGUUCGGUCCCUAUCUGCCGUGGGCGCUGGAGAACUGAGGGGGGCUGCUCCUAGUACGAGAGGACCGGAGUGGACGCAUCACUGGUGUUCGGGUUGUCAUGCCAAUGGCACUGCCCGGUAGCUAAAUGCGGAAGAGAUAAGUGCUGAAAGCAUCUAAGCACGAAACUUGCCCCGAGAUGAGUUCUCCCUGAGACUUAGAGUCUCCUGAAGGAACGUUGAAGACGACGACGUUGAUAGGCCGGGUGUGUAAGCGCAGCGAUGCGUUGAGCUAACCGGUACUAAUGAACCGUGAGGCUUAACCUUAC